UUGCUUCUUAGUGCAAUUAAUAAAACUUUAAGGUAUCGUUUGGUUCGGGAAUAAACAAAAAGUGGGUAUUUCAGGGAUAGGUAUAAAUUGAGGUAUAAGCGGGGAUUAGAUCAAUUUUGCGUUUGGAUGAAAAUUGGGUUAUUCCUCGGAAUAAGAAAAAUAACGUUUGGUUAGGUAAGAUGGAAUAAGAUUUAAAGUGGAUAGUUAUAAAUAAAAAAUAAUAAUAUUAUCACUUUUUUAUUUAUAUUAGAAUUUAAAUUUUUAUAUUUUAUAUUUAUAUUUUAAAAUUUAAAAUUUUAACUUUUAAAUUUCAAAUUUUGAAAUUAAAAUUUAAAAUUUAAAAUCUCAAAUUUUAAAUUCAAAAUUUAAAUUUUAAAUUUCUAACUUUAAAUUUAAGAUCAAAUUUAAAUUUGAAAAAAAAAUAAAUUCAAAUUUAAAAUUUCAAAAAUUUAAAAUUUCAAAAUUUAAAUUUAAAAUUUAAAAUGUGGAAUUUAAAAUUAUAAACUUUAAUUUUGAGAUUACAAAUUUUAAAUUUUAAAUAUAAUUUAUUAUAAUAUUUUAAAUUUUAAAUUUAUUUAAAUUUUAAAUUUUAAUUUAUUUUAAUAUUUAAAUAUAAUUUAUUAUAAAAUUUAUUAUAAUAUUUAAAUAUAAAUAAUAUGUAUUAAUAUAGCACAAUUAAUAAUUUUAUAAUAAAAAUAAUGUAUUAUAAUAUAUAUAAUAUAUUAUAUUUAUAUAAUUUAGUUUUAAUUUACUUUAUAAUUUUAAUUAAGUUUGAAAUUAAGCAUGAGAAUAGCACUAUUCCACCAAAAUGGUGGAAUAGUAAAAAGCUUGCUAUUUUGGAAUAACCGGGAAUAGCAAGCUUUGACCGGAAUAAAAUAUUCCGAUAAAAAAUGAUCCCGUUUGGCAGAAUAGCGGGGAUAAUCCCCGCUUAUCCCCGAACCAAACGGGGCCUUAAAGGUUUUCUCUGUGUCAAAUAUUGUACUCUACUGAAAACUACUGUUACUAAGGGGUAAAACUUGAGUGGCGAGCUUUCCAACGACACCUCAUAGAGAAGCCCCCGAUCUACUGCCGUAUGUUAGUUUUGCCUCCAUUCAAAUAGUUCAUUGAGUGUUUUCAGUACUAAAAUUCUAAAAAAAAGGCUAAAAUAUAGAAAAUUUUUAUAAAUGCCCGCUUUUUUUACUUUUUGUUCUCUGACUUUGAAAAAUCUAUAUUUUACCCCUUUAAAAGUUUAAAAAUAUUUUUAGUAGGGUACAACAUUAAUAAAAAGGAUAAAAUGAUCAAAUUACCUUUACUACUUCUAUAAAAAUUAUAAUAUAUAUAUUUAAUACAUUUUUGUCAUUUUGAAUGACAUUUUCAGUAUAAAUUAUAAGAAAUUGACGGAAUAGUGAUGAAACUCUGAGGGAGGGGGGCUAAAUACAAUAACUUGAAAUUUUUUUUUUUUUUUUUUUGAGAGAUAGGUAGCACGCUACCCGUUUCAUUUAUUUCAUUUAGGAAUAAACUUAGCUGGAAAUAUGAAUCAACUAGGAUUCGAAUUUGGAUCUCGAGUACCAACCAUCAAACCCUUUGCCACUUACACUAGGGACGGUCGGUUAUUUAUAAAGAAAUUUUUUAUAAUUUAGCCAAAAAAAAAAGAAAUCCUUGAGGAAAGGAUUACAACCUUUAGAUAGACAUAAAAGUAACAUGUAGCGACAUAUUAGGACUUCUUAAAUCUUAACGAAGCGUAUAGCCGGCGAGCUCCUCGCUGAAGUUUUUCCCAUCACUAAGAGUAAAAGCAGGAGUACUAUUGAUAGUUAGGCCAUCAUUUUGCUCAUGUGGCUGAGGUAGGGACGAACAAAGUUUCGAUCGAAACUCAUAAACAUUAUGUCUGUACGUUCUAUUUAUUUAUUUUCUUCUAGAUCGAACUUUUGGAACUAUGAUUAACGCGAAUGACACACAAGUAGGACCAAGGUGG
Molecule: long non-coding RNA, 1951 nt
Filed under: Ananas comosus (pineapple)
Lineage: Eukaryota; Viridiplantae; Streptophyta; Magnoliopsida; Poales; Bromeliaceae
Description: long non-coding RNA (ACOM_LNC009651)
Source: RNAcentral